RNAcentral lists this long non-coding RNA (302 nucleotides) under Gossypium barbadense (sea-island cotton). RNAcentral's name for it is "long non-coding RNA (GBAR_LNC018887)". Lineage: Eukaryota; Viridiplantae; Streptophyta; Magnoliopsida; Malvales; Malvaceae. The record is from RNAcentral.
AUAAAAACUCGAUUAUAAAAAUUCAAUUAAACCCGAAUAAGCCUAAAAAUAAAAAAAAUUAAGCCCAGCGUCGAAUCCAUAAUAAUCAUUAUUAAAAUAAAAUCGAAGUAAAAUCAAUUUAUGAAUCUGAAUCGCCGCUAGCUUACGGUGUAGUGUGUACGUACUCCAAGCUCCUAAAUACUUGAAGAACACGCUUUCCAUUUCUCAUUCUGGGUUUUCUUUAUCUAUAGGUUAUUUUGAUGUUAAGAGCCUUCUCUUUAAAAAAAAAAAAAAACUUUCUCUCUUUGUUUAUAUUGUUUGGC